GCAUCAGUGGUUCAGUGGUAGAAUUCCUGCCCUCCAUGCAGGAGACCUGGAUUCGAUCCCCAGCCAAUGCA
Molecule: non-coding RNA, 71 nt
Organism: Orycteropus afer afer
Lineage: Eukaryota; Metazoa; Chordata; Mammalia; Tubulidentata; Orycteropodidae
Source: the annotation of a RefSeq genome assembly